RNAcentral lists this ribosomal RNA (1528 nucleotides) under uncultured bacterium. RNAcentral's name for it is "bacterial SSU rRNA". It matches the Rfam family "Bacterial small subunit ribosomal RNA". The record is from RNAcentral.
AGAGUUUGAUCAUGGCUCAGGAUGAACGCUGGCGGCGUGCUUAAUACAUGCAAGUCGAACGAAUGGAUGUCUAGCUUGCUAGACUGAAGUUAGUGGCGAACGGGUGAGUAAUACAUAGGCAAUCUGCCCUGAAGUGUGGGAUAGCUAUUGGAAACGAUAAUUAAUACCGCAUAGGUAGCAGGAAGGCAUCUUCCUACUAUUAAAGAUGCGUCUGCAUCGCUGCAGGAUGAGCUUAUGGUGUAUUAGCUAGUUGGUGAGAUAAAAGCCCACCAAGGCUAUGAUACAUAGCUGGUCUGAGAGGAUGAACAGCCACAUUGGGACUGAGACACGGCCCAGACUCCUACGGGAGGCAGCAGUAAGGAAUUUUCGGCAAUGGGGGCAACCCUGACCGAGCAACGCCGCGUGAGUGAUGAAGGUCUUCGGAUCGUAAAACUCUGUUGUAAAGGAAGAAUGUCAUAUAUAGGAAAUGACAUAUGAGUGACGGUACUUUACUAGAAAGUCACGGCUUACUACGUGCCAGCAGCCGCGGUAAUACGUAGGUGGCAAGCGUUAUCCGGAUUUAUUGGGCGUAAAGGGUGCGCAGGCGGUCUGUUAAGUUUGGUGUGAAAGCGUGGGGCUCAACCCCAUACAGCAUCGAAUACUGGCAGACUAGAGUGCAGAAGAGGGUAAUGGAACUCCAUGUGUAGCGGUAAAAUGCGUAGAUAUAUGGAAGAACACCAGCGGCGAAGGCGGUUACCUGGUCUGUAACUGACGCUCAGGCACGAAAGCGUGGGGAGCAAAUAGGAUUAGAUACCCUAGUAGUCCACGCCCUAAACGAUGAGUACUAGAUGUUGGAAUUUUCAGUGUCACAGCUAACGCAAUAAGUACUCCGCCUGAGGAGUAUGCACGCAAGUGUAAAACUUAAAGGAAUUGACGGGGCCCCGCACAAGCGGUGGAGUAUGUGGUUUAAUUCGACGCAACGCGAAGAACCUUACCAGGCCUUGACAUCCCCUGCAAAACCAUAGAGAUAUGGCAGAGGUUAUCAGGGCGACAGGUGGUGCAUGGUUGUCGUCAGCUCGUGUCGUGAGAUGUUGGGUUAAGUCCCGCAACGAGCGCAACCCUUGUCUUUAGUUACCAUCAUUAAGUUGGGGACUCUAGAGAGACUGCCGGUGACAAACCGGAGGAAGGUGGGGAUGACGUCAAAUCAUCAUGCCCUUUAUGGCCUGGGCUACACACGUACUACAAUGGCGUAUACAGCAAGAUGCAAUACCGUAAGGUGGAGCAAAACUUAUAAAAUACGUCUCAGUUCGGAUUGAGGUCUGCAACUCGACCUCAUGAAGUUGGAAUCGCUAGUAAUCGCGAAUCAGCAUGUCGCGGUGAAUACGUUCUCGGGGCUUGUACACACCGCCCGUCAAACCAUGAGAGUUGGUAAUACCCGAAGCCGGUGGCUUAAGGACUUGUCCAGGGAGCUGUCUAAGGUAGGACCGAUGAUUGGGGUUAAGUCGUAACAAGGCAUCCCUACGAGAACGUGGGGUUGGAUCACCUCCUU